RNAcentral lists this ribosomal RNA (257 nucleotides) under uncultured bacterium. Its description in RNAcentral is "partial 16S ribosomal RNA". It matches the Rfam family "Bacterial small subunit ribosomal RNA", at positions 524 to 777 of the family's 1533-position model. The record is from RNAcentral.
UACGGGGGGGGGCAAGCGUUGUUCGGAAUUACUGGGCGUAAAGGGCUCGUAGGCGGCCAACUAAGUCGGACGUGAAAUCCCUCGGCUCAACCGGGGGAACUGCGUCCGAUACUGGAUGGCUUGAGUUCGGGAGAGGGAUGCGGAAUUCCAGGUGUAGCGGUGAAAUGCGUAGAUAUCUGGAGGAACACCGGUGGCGAAGGCGGCAUCCUGGACCGACACUGACGCUGAGGAGCGAAAGCCAGGGGGAGCAAAACGGG